UCGUCGUGGCGCAGCCCGAUCAGCGGGUCCUGUUCGGCGAGCCGGGUGAGCGCGAGGUGCAGGGCACCGCGGCCGGUUCCGGGGCCCGGCACGACGAC
This 98-nucleotide transfer RNA is filed under the name Streptomyces spiralis. Its description in RNAcentral is "tRNA-Ala". The record is from RNAcentral. Lineage: Bacteria; Bacillati; Actinomycetota; Actinomycetes; Kitasatosporales; Streptomycetaceae.